This 19-nucleotide non-coding RNA is filed under the name Mus musculus (house mouse). Lineage: Eukaryota; Metazoa; Chordata; Mammalia; Rodentia; Muridae. The record is from RNAcentral.
UGAAACCAGCUGCAGGUGA